Molecule: ribosomal RNA, 682 nt
Filed under: uncultured organism
Description: bacterial SSU rRNA
Rfam family: Bacterial small subunit ribosomal RNA
Source: RNAcentral
AGAGUUUGAUCCUGGCUCAGGAUGAACGCUGGCGGUCUGCUUAACACAUGCAAGUCGAACGCAACCUUCGGGUUGAGUGGCGGACGGGUGAGUAACGCGUGAGAAUCUGCCUUGGGGUCGGGGACAACCACUGGAAACGGUGGCUAAUACCGGAUAAGCCUUUGGGUAAAAAAUUUAUUGCCCCAAGAGGAGCUCGCGUCUGAUUAGCUAGUUGGUGAGGUAAGAGCUCACCAAGGCAGCGAUCAGUAGCUGGUCUGAGAGGACGAUCAGCCACACUGGGACUGAGACACGGCCCAGACUCCUACGGGAGGCAGCAGUGGGGAAUUUUCCGCAAUGGGCGAAAGCCUGACGGAGCAAGACCGCGUGAGGGAGGAAGGCUCUUGGGUUGUAAACCUCUUUUCUCAGGGAAGAAGCUCUGACGGUACCUGAGGAAUCAGCCUCGGCUAACUCCGUGCCAGCAGCCGCGGUAAUACGGAGGAGGCAAGCGUUAUCCGGAAUUAUUGGGCGUAAAGCGUCCGCAGGUGGCGAUCCAAGUCUGCUGUCAAAGCACGGGGCUUAACUCCGUUAAAGGCAGUGGAAACUGAAUAGCUAGAGUGCUCGUAGGGGUAGAGGGAAUUCUCGGUGUAGCGGUGAAAUGCGUAGAGAUCGGGAAGAACAUCGGUGGCGAAAGCGCUCUACUGGA